Molecule: ribosomal RNA, 135 nt
Filed under: uncultured bacterium
Lineage: Bacteria
Description: partial 16S ribosomal RNA
Rfam family: Bacterial small subunit ribosomal RNA
Source: RNAcentral
UGGGGAAUAUUGGACAAUGGGGGCAACCCUGAUCCAGCCAUGCCGCGUGAGUGAAGAAGGCCUUCGGGUUGUAAAGCUCUUUUGGCGGGGACGAUGAUGACGGUACCCGCAGAAUAAGCCCCGGCUAACUUCGUG